AGAGUUUGAUCCUGGCUCAGGAUGAACGCUGGCGGCGUGCUUAACACAUGCAAGUCGAACGGGAAACCUUUUAUUGAAGCUUCGGCAGAUUUAGCUGGUUUCUAGUGGCGGACGGGUGAGUAACGCGUGGGUAACCUGCCUUAUACAGGGGGAUAACAGUCAGAAAUGGCUGCUAAUACCGCAUAAGCGCACAGAGCUGCAUGGCUCAGUGAGAAAAACUCCGGUGGUAUAAGAUGGACCCGCGUUGGAUUAGCUGGUUGGCGGGGUAACGGCCCACCAAGGCGACGAUCCAUAGCCGGCCUGAGAGGGUGAACGGCCACAUUGGGACUGAGACACGGCCCAGACUCCUACGGGAGGCAGCAGUGGGGAAUAUUGCACAAUGGGGGGAACCCUGACGCAGCGACGCCGCGUGCGGGACGGAGGCCUUCGGGUCGUAAACCGCUUUCAGCAGGGAAGAGUCAAGACUGUACCUGCAGAAGAAGCCCCGGCUAACUACGUGCCAGCAGCCGCGGUAAUACGUAGGGGGCGAGCGUUAUCCGGAUUCAUUGGGCGUAAAGCGCGCGUAGGCGGCCCGGCAGGCCGGGGGUCGAAGCGGGGGGACUCAACCCCCCGAAGCCCCCGGAACCUCCGCGGCUUGGGUCCGGUAGGGGAGGGUGGAACACCCGGUGUAGCGGUGGAAUGCGCAGAUAUCGGGUGGAACACCAGUAGCGAAGGCGGCUUUCUGGACUGUAACUGACGCUGAGGCACGAAAGCGUGGGGAGCAAACAGGAUUAGAUACCCUGGUAGUCCACGCUGUAAACGAUG
Molecule: ribosomal RNA, 804 nt
Filed under: uncultured bacterium
Lineage: Bacteria
Description: bacterial SSU rRNA
Rfam family: Bacterial small subunit ribosomal RNA
Source: RNAcentral